CCUACGGGAGGCAGCAGUGGGGAAUCUUGCACAAUGGAGGAAACUCUGAUGCAGCGAUGCCGCGUGAGUGAAGAAGGCCUUUGGGUUGUAAAGCUCUUUUGUAGGGGAAGAUAAUGACUGUACCCUAAGAAUAAGGUCCGGCUAACUUCGUGCCAGCAGCCGCGGUAAUACGAAGGGACCUAGCGUAGUUCGGAAUUACUGGGCGUAAAGCGCGCGUAGGCCGUUGAGUUAGUUAAUUGUGAAAUCCCAAAGCUUAACUUUGGAACUGCAAUUAAAACUGCUCGACUAGAGUUUGAUAGAGGAAAGCGGAAUACAUAGUGUAGAGGUGAAAUUCGUAGAUAUUAUGUAGAACACCAGUUGCGAAGGCGGCUUUCUGGAUCAACACUGACGCUGAGGCGCGAAAGUAUGGGUAGCAAAGAGGAUUAGAUACCCUCGUAGUCCAUACCAUAAACGAUGAUUGCUAGAUGUUGGAAAUUUAUUUUCAGUAUCGCAGCUAACGCGUUAAGCAAUCCGCCUGGGGAGUACGACCGCAAGGUUAAAACUUAAAUGAAUUGACGG
Molecule: ribosomal RNA, 558 nt
Filed under: uncultured bacterium
Lineage: Bacteria
Description: bacterial SSU rRNA
Rfam family: Bacterial small subunit ribosomal RNA
Source: RNAcentral